ACGCUGGCGGAAUGCUUUACACAUGCAAGUCGAACGGUAGAGGGGGCAACCCCUUGAGAGUGGCGAACGGGUGAGUAAUAUAUCGGAACGUGCCCAGUCGUGGGGGAUAACGUAGUGAAAAUUACGCUAAUACCGCAUACGAUCUAAGGAUGAAAGCGGGGGAUCGCAAGACCUCGCGCGAUUGGAGCGGCCGAUAUCAGAUUAGGUAGUUGGUAGGGUAAAGGCCUACCAAGCCAACGAUCUGUAGCUGGUCUGAGAGGACGACCAGCCACACUGGAACUGAGACACGGUCCAGACUCCUACGGGAGGCAGCAGUGGGGAAUUUUGGACAAUGGGCGAAAGCCUGAUCCAGCCAUUCCGCGUGCAGGAUGAAGGCCCUCGGGUUGUAAACUGCUUUUGUACAGAACGAAAAGGUCUCUAUUAAUACUAGGGGCUCAUGACGGUACUGUAAGAAUAAGCACCGGCUAACUACGUGCCAGCAGCCGCGGUAAUACGUAGGGUGCAAGCGUUAAUCGGAAUUACUGGGCGUAAAGCGUGCGCAGGCGGUUAUAUAAGUCAGAUGUGAAAUCCCCGGGCUCAACCUGGGAACUGCAUUUGAGACUGUAUAGCUAGAGUACGGUAGAGGGGGAUGGAAUUCCGCGUGUAGCAGUGAAAUGCGUAGAUAUGCGGAGGAACACCGAUGGCGAAGGCAAUCCCCUGGACCUGUACUGACGCUCAUGCACGAAAGCGUGGGGAGCAAACAGGAUUAGAUACCCUGGUAGUCCACGCCCUAAACGAUGUCAACUGGUUGUUGGGUCUUCACUGACUCAGUAACGAAGC
RNAcentral lists this ribosomal RNA (819 nucleotides) under uncultured bacterium. Its description in RNAcentral is "bacterial SSU rRNA". It matches the Rfam family "Bacterial small subunit ribosomal RNA", at positions 33 to 852 of the family's 1533-position model. The record is from RNAcentral.